RNAcentral lists this transfer RNA (102 nucleotides) under marine sediment metagenome. Its description in RNAcentral is "tRNA-Met". It matches the Rfam family "tRNA". From Rfam's summary of the family: Transfer RNA (tRNA) molecules are approximately 80 nucleotides in length. The record is from RNAcentral.
GGGCCUGUAGAUCAGUGGAAGAUUGUAGGUUUCAUGUACGUCCCUACCUUUACCGCUUGACUUGCAUUCAAGAGGUCACGGGUUCAAUUCCCGUCAGGUCCA